This 498-nucleotide ribosomal RNA is filed under the name uncultured bacterium. RNAcentral's name for it is "partial 16S ribosomal RNA". It matches the Rfam family "Bacterial small subunit ribosomal RNA", at positions 30 to 523 of the family's 1533-position model. The record is from RNAcentral.
AUUGAACGCUGGCGGCAUGCUUUACAUAUGCAAGUCGAACGGUAACAGGCCGCAAGGUGCUGACGAGUGGCGAACGGGUGAGUAAUGCAUCGGAACGUGCCCAGUCGUGGGGGAUAACGCAGCGAAAGCUGCGCUAAUACCGCAUACGAUCUAUGGAUGAAAGCGGGGGACCGUAAGGCCUCGCGCGAUUGGAGCGGCCGAUGUCAGAUUAGGUAGUUGGUGGGGUAAAGGCUCACCAAGCCGACGAUCUGUAGCUGGUCUGAGAGGACGACCAGCCACACUGGGACUGAGACACGGCCCAGACUCCUACGGGAGGCAGCAGUGGGGAAUUUUGGACAAUGGGCGCAAGCCUGAUCCAGCAAUGCCGCGUGCAGGAAGAAGGCCUUCGGGUUGUAAACUGCUUUUGUACGGAACGAAAAGGCUCUGGUUAAUACCUGGGGCUCAUGACGGUACCGUAAGAAUAAGCACCGGCUAACUACGUGCCAGCCGCCGCGGUAA